UGGGGUGUGGCUUAGAGGUAGAGUGCUUGCCUCAGACGUGUGAAGCACUGGGUUCAAUCCUCAGCCCCACAU
RNAcentral lists this transfer RNA (72 nucleotides) under Urocitellus parryii (Arctic ground squirrel). RNAcentral describes it as "Spermophilus parryii (Arctic ground squirrel) tRNA". It matches the Rfam family "tRNA". From Rfam's summary of the family: Transfer RNA (tRNA) molecules are approximately 80 nucleotides in length. Their secondary structure includes four short double-helical elements and three loops (D, anti-codon, and T loops). Lineage: Eukaryota; Metazoa; Chordata; Mammalia; Rodentia; Sciuridae. The record is from Rfam by way of RNAcentral. RNAcentral also lists the same sequence under 2 other names.